Molecule: ribosomal RNA, 758 nt
Filed under: uncultured Enterobacteriaceae bacterium
Lineage: Bacteria; Pseudomonadati; Pseudomonadota; Gammaproteobacteria; Enterobacterales; Enterobacteriaceae
Description: bacterial SSU rRNA
Rfam family: Bacterial small subunit ribosomal RNA
Source: RNAcentral
AUUGAACGCUGGCGGCAGGCCUAACACAUGCAGUCGAGCGGUAGCACAGGAGAGCUUGCUCUCUGGGUGACGAGCGGCGGACGGGUGAGUAAUGUCUGGGAAACUGCCUGAUGGAGGGGGAUAACUACUGGAAACGGUAGCUAAUACCGCAUAACGUCUUCGGACCAAAGUGGGGGACCUUCGGGCCUCACGCCAUCAGAUGUGCCCAGAUGGGAUUAGCUAGUAGGUGGGGUAAUGGCUCACCUAGGCGACGAUCCCUAGCUGGUCUGAGAGGAUGACCAGCCACACUGGAACUGAGACACGGUCCAGACUCCUACGGGAGGCAGCAGUGGGGAAUAUUGCACAAUGGGCGCAAGCCUGAUGCAGCCAUGCCGCGUGUGUGAAGAAGGGCUUCGGGUUGUAAAGCACUUUCAGCGAGGAGGAAGGAGUAGUGUGUUAAUAGCACAUUGCAUUGACGUUACUCGCAGAAGAAGCACCGGCUAACUCCGUGCCAGCAGCCGCGGUAAUACGGAGGGUGCAAGCGUUAAUCGGAAUUACUGGGCGUAAAGCGCACGCAGGCGGUUUGUUAAGUCAGAUGUGAAAUCCCCGCGCUUAACGUGGGAACUGCAUUUGAAACUGGCAAGCUAGAGUCUUGUAGAGGGGGGUAGAAUUCCAGGUGUAGCGGUGAAAUGCGUAGAGAUCUGGAGGAAUACCGGUGGCGAAGGCGGCCCCUGGACAAAGACUGACGCUCAGGUGCGAAAGCGUGGGGAGCAAACAGG